CGUAUGGUGUCCGGCACAAGAUGACCGGAUAGCGAUACGGCCUAACGAGGU
This 51-nucleotide non-coding RNA is filed under the name Arsukibacterium ikkense. Its description in RNAcentral is "L31-Gammaproteobacteria ribosomal protein leader". It matches the Rfam family "L31-Gammaproteobacteria ribosomal protein leader". The record is from RNAcentral. Lineage: Bacteria; Pseudomonadati; Pseudomonadota; Gammaproteobacteria; Chromatiales; Chromatiaceae.